AUUGAACGCUGGCGGCAGGCCUAACACAUGCAAGUCGAGCGGAUGAAGGGAGCUUGCUCCUGGAUUCAGCGGCGGACGGGUGAGUAAUGCCUAGGAAUCUGCCUGGUAGUGGGGGAUAACGUCCGGAAACGGGCGCUAAUACCGCAUACGUCCUGAGGGAGAAAGUGGGGGAUCUUCAGACCUCACGCUAUCAGAUGAGCCUAGGUCGGAUUAGCUAGUUGGUGGGGUAAAGGCCUACCAAGGCGACGAUCCGUAACUGGUCUGAGAGGAUGAUCAGUCACACUGGAACUGAGACACGUUCCAGACUCCGACGGGAAGCAGCAGUGGGGAAUAUUGGACGAUGGACGAAAGCCUGAUCCAGCCAUGCCGCGUGUGUGAAGAAGGUCUUCGGAUUGUAAAGCACUUUAAGUUGGGAGGAAGGGCAGUAAGUUAAUACCUUGCUGUUUUGACGUUACCAACAGAAUAAGCACCGGCUAACUUCGUG
This 484-nucleotide ribosomal RNA is filed under the name uncultured bacterium. RNAcentral describes it as "partial 16S ribosomal RNA". It matches the Rfam family "Bacterial small subunit ribosomal RNA", at positions 30 to 507 of the family's 1533-position model. The record is from RNAcentral.